Molecule: ribosomal RNA, 503 nt
Filed under: uncultured bacterium
Lineage: Bacteria
Description: partial 16S ribosomal RNA
Rfam family: Bacterial small subunit ribosomal RNA
Source: RNAcentral
AUUGAACGCUGGCGGCAGGCUUAACACAUGCAAGUCGAGCGGAGUGAUGGUGCUUGCACUAUCACUUAGCGGCGGACGGGUGAGUAAUGCUUAGGAAUCUGCCUAUUAGUGGGGGACAACAUCUCGAAAGGGAUGCUAAUACCGCAUACGUCCUACGGGAGAAAGCAGGGGAUCACUUGUGACCUUGCGCUAAUAGAUGAGCCUAAGUCGGAUUAGCUAGUUGGUGGGGUAAAGGCCUACCAAGGCGACGAUCUGUAGCGGGUCUGAGAGGAUGGUCCGCCACAAUGGGACUGAGACACGGCCCAGACUCCUACGGGAGGCAGGUGUGGGGAAUAUUGGACAAUGGGCGGAUCCCUGAUCCAGCCAUGCCGCGUGUGUGAAGAAGGCCUUAUGGUUGUAAAGCACUUUAAGCGAGGAGGAGGCUCUUUUGGUUAAUACCCAAGAUGAGUGGACGUUACUCGCAGAAUAAGCACCGGCUAACUCUGUGCCAGCCGCCGCGGUAA